AGCGAACGCUGGCGGCAGGCCUAAUACAUGCAAGUCGAACGGCUCUUCGGAGCAGUGGCGGACGGGUGAGUAACACGUGGGAACGUGCCCUUUGGUACGGAACAACUGAGGGAAACUUCAGCUAAUACCGUAUGUGCCCCCAUUCUUAGCGGGAUGGGUGGGAAAGAUUUAUCGCCGUUGGAGCGGCCCGCGUUGGAUUAGCUAGUUGGUGGGGUAAAGGCCCACCAAGGCUACGAUCCAUAGCUGGUCUGAGAGGAUGAUCAGCCACACUGGGACUGAGACACGGCCCAGACUCCUACGGGAGGCAGCAGUAGGGAAUCUUGCGCAAUGGGCGAAAGCCUGACGCAGCCAUGCCGCGUGAGUGAUGAAGGUCUUAGGAUUGUAAAAUUCUUUCACCGGGGAAGAUAAUGACGGUACCCGGAGAAGAAGCCCCGGCUAACUUCGUGCCAGCCGCCGCGGUAA
Molecule: ribosomal RNA, 462 nt
Filed under: uncultured bacterium
Lineage: Bacteria
Description: partial 16S ribosomal RNA
Rfam family: Bacterial small subunit ribosomal RNA
Source: RNAcentral